RNAcentral lists this long non-coding RNA (621 nucleotides) under Theobroma cacao (cacao). RNAcentral's name for it is "long non-coding RNA (TCAC_LNC003789)". Lineage: Eukaryota; Viridiplantae; Streptophyta; Magnoliopsida; Malvales; Malvaceae. The record is from RNAcentral.
GAAAUGAAAGGUACGAAUGGCAGGGUGCGGACGCACCCUGCCAGGCGCCACCUUCAUCUUGCCAGACGCGAAAAAUUCGUGUCUGGCANAGGUGCCCCCCUUUAACCUAGUAUAAAAGGGGCACUGUAGCAUCCAUCCGGGGGGGGGCCCGAACCUGCAAACCAAAGAGAAAAUUGAGAUAAAAAAAAUCCCGAAAAGUAAAAAAAAAUCAAAUUCCUAGCUUUCUAACAGCCCCCAACAAUCCACAAAAAUCAAGAAAUAUACCAAAAUAUACCAAAAAUUCAUAAAUACACACAGUGAGAGAGGGAUUUUUUGGUUCAUUUUUUUUCUUUUGGGGGGGGGGGGGGGUUUGUUGCUGUCGACUAGGGAAGAAGACGCUGGGAUGGUAUCGUCAGUUAGGAUGGAAAAGCUUUGGGGUAGGUCACUGGCGGGAGGAAGGAACUGAGAGAGAGAGCUUCGGGUUGCGCCGCCAAUGUGAGGGCACCUACAGAUCUGCGGCAAAGGGGAGUUCGCCGGUAGGAGAAGACGUAAAGGGAGAGCUGACCGGCGGUGGUUGAGAGAUUUAGGGAGAAACUGGUCAUCGGAGGGAGGAAGGAGAGGAGAAGGGGAUUUGUUAGAAAG